AUUGAACGCUGGCGGCAUGCUUUACACAUGCAAGUCGAACGGUAACAGGUUAAGCUGACGAGUGGCGAACGGGUGAGUAAUGCAUCGGAACGUGCCCGAUCGUGGGGGAUAACACUUCGAAAGAAGUGCUAAUACCGCAUACGAUCUGAGGAUGAAAGCGGGGGACCGUAAGGCCUCGCGCGAUCGGAGCGGCCGAUGUCAGAUUAGGUAGUUGGUGGGGUAAAGGCCUACCAAGCCGACGAUCUGUAGCUGGUCUGAGAGGACGACCAGCCACACUGGGACUGAGACACGGCCCAGACUCCUACGGGGGGCAGCAGUGGGGAAUUUUGGACAAUGGGCGCAAGCCUGAUCCAGCAAUGCCGCGUGCAGGAAGAAGGCCUUCGGGUUGUAAACUGCUUUUGUACGGAGCGAAAAGGCUCUCUCUAAUACAGGGGGCUGAUGACGGUACCGUAAGAAUAAGCACCGGCUAACUCUGUGCCAGCCGCCGCAGUAA
This 493-nucleotide ribosomal RNA is filed under the name uncultured bacterium. Its description in RNAcentral is "partial 16S ribosomal RNA". It matches the Rfam family "Bacterial small subunit ribosomal RNA", at positions 30 to 523 of the family's 1533-position model. The record is from RNAcentral.